RNAcentral lists this ribosomal RNA (500 nucleotides) under uncultured bacterium. RNAcentral describes it as "partial 16S ribosomal RNA". It matches the Rfam family "Bacterial small subunit ribosomal RNA", at positions 30 to 523 of the family's 1533-position model. The record is from RNAcentral.
AUUGAACGCUGGCGGAAUGCUUUACACAUGCAAGUCGAACGGCAGCACGGACUUCGGUCUGGUGGCGAGUGGCGAACGGGUGAGUAAUGUAUCGGAACGUGCCCAGUCGUGGGGGAUAACGUAGUGAAAAUUACGCUAAUACCGCAUACGAUCUAUGGAUGAAAGCGGGGGAUCGCAAGACCUCGCGCGAUUGGAGCGGCCGAUAUCAGAUUAGGUAGUGGGUGGGGUAAAGGCCCACCAAGCCAACGAUCUGUAGCUGGUCUGAGAGGACGACCAGCCACACUGGAACUGAGACACGGUCCAGACUCCUACGCGAGGCAGCAGUGGGGAAUUUUGGACAAUGGGCGCAAGCCUGAUCCAGCCAUUCCGCGUGCAGGAUGAAGGCCCUCGGGUUGUAAACUGCUUUUGUACAGAACGAAAAGGUUUCUACUAAUACUGGGAGCUCAUGACGGUACUGUAAGAAUAAGCACCGGCUAACUACGUGCCAGCCGCCGCUGUAA